Molecule: small nucleolar RNA, 127 nt
Organism: Meriones unguiculatus (Mongolian gerbil)
Lineage: Eukaryota; Metazoa; Chordata; Mammalia; Rodentia; Muridae
Source: Ensembl
CCUGCCCCUAGAAGUGUUGCAGGUGUGGCUGCUGUGUCACACGUGCAUCAGAAGGUAUCAGAGAGAAGCUAUGUCUAUGCUCCGUGUUCUGACCUAUGAACAUCUGAAAGAUGAGAAACCUAACAGU